GGUUAAGUGACUAAGCGUACACGGUGGAUGCCUUGGCAGUCAGAGGCGAUGAAAGACGUAGUAACUUGCGAUAAGCCCAGAUUAGGUAGUAACAACCAUUUGAGUCUGGGAUUUCUGAAUGGGGAAACCCACGUGCAUAAGCACGUAUCCUUACCUGAAUACAUAGGGUAAGGAGGCGAACCGGGGGAACUGAAACAUCUAAGUACCCCGAGGAAAAGAAAUCAACCGAGAUUCCGAAAGUAGCGGCGAGCGAAAUUGGACUAGCCCUUAAGCUUUACACGCGUUAGACGAACGGUCUGGAAAGUCCGACGAUACAGGGUGAUAGUCCCGUAGUUGACGACGUGUGUUCAGUGAAAUCGAGUAGGGCGGGACACGUGAUAUCCUGUCUGAAUAUGGGGGGACCAUCCUCCAAGGCUAAAUACUACUGACUGACCGAUAGUGAACCAGUACCGUGAGGGAAAGGCGAAAAGAACCCCUGUGAGGGGAGUGAAAUAGAACCUGAAACCGUGUACGUACAAGCAGUAGGAGCACCUUCGUGGUGUGACUGCGUACCUUUUGUAUAAUGGGUCAGCGACUUAUAUUCAGUGGCAAGGUUAACCAUCUAGGGGAGCCGUAGGGAAACCGAGUCUUAACUGGGCGUUCAGUCUCUGGAUAUAGACCCGAAACCAGGUGAUCUAGCCAUGGGCAGGUUGAAGGUUGAGUAACAUCAACUGGAGGACCGAACCGACUAAUGUUGAAAAAUUAGCGGAUGACUUGUGGCUAGGGGUGAAAGGCCAAUCAAACCUGGAGAUAGCUGGUUCUCCCCGAAAGCUAUUUAGGUAGCGCCUCGGACGAAUACUACUGGGGGUAGAGCACUGUUAAGGCUAGGGGGUCAUCCCGACUUACCAACCCUUUGCAAACUCCGAAUACCAGUAAGUACUAUCCGGGAGACACACGGCGGGUGCUAACGUCCGUCGUGGAGAGGGAAACAACCCAGACCGCCAGCUAAGGUCCCAAAUUACUACUAAGUGGGAAACGAUGUGGGAAGGCUCAGACAGCCAGGAUGUUGGCUUAGAAGCAGCCAUCAUUUAAAGAAAGCGUAAUAGCUCACUGGUCGAGUCGGCCUGCGCGGAAGAUGUAACGGGGCUAAGUAGUAAACCGAAGCUGCGGCAAUGUGCUUUUGCACAUUGGGUAGGGGAGCGUUCUGUAAGCGGUUGAAGGUGUGUGGUAACGCAUGCUGGACGUAUCAGAAGUGCGAAUGCUGACAUGAGUAACGAUAAAGGGGGUGAAAAACCUCCUCGCCGGAAGACCAAGGGUUCCUGUCCAACGUUAAUCGGGGCAGGGUAAGUCGACCCCUAAGGCGAGGCCGAAAGGCGUAGUCGAUGGGAAACGGGUUAAUAUUCCCGUACUUCUUACAAUUGCGAUGGGGGGACGGAGAAGGCUAGGUGGGCCUGGCGACGGUUGUCCAGGUUCAAGUGCGUAGGCUUAAGAGUUAGGUAAAUCCGGCUCUUUUUAAGGCUGAGACACGACGUCGAGCACCUACGGGUGUAAAGUCAUUGAUGCCAUGCUUCCAGGAAAAGCCUCUAAGCUUCAGAUUGUAAGGAAUCGUACCCCAAACCGACACAGGUGGUCGGGUAGAGAAUACCAAGGCGCUUGAGAGAACUCGGGUGAAGGAACUAGGCAAAAUGGUACCGUAACUUCGGGAGAAGGUACGCUCUUGAUGGUGAAGUCCCUUGCGGAUGGAGCUAUUGAGAGUCGCAGAUACCAGGUGGCUGCAACUGUUUAUUAAAAACACAGCACUGUGCAAAAUCGUAAGAUGACGUAUACGGUGUGACGCCUGCCCGGUGCCGGAAGGUUAAUUGAUGGGGUUAGACUUAGGUCGAAGCUCUUGAUCGAAGCCCCGGUAAACGGCGGCCGUAACUAUAACGGUCCUAAGGUAGCGAAAUUCCUUGUCGGGUAAGUUCCGACCUGCACGAAUGGCGUAAUGAUGGCCACGCUGUCUCCACCCGAGACUCAGUGAAAUUGAAAUCGCUGUGAAGAUGCAGUGUACCCGCGGCUAGACGGAAAGACCCCGUGAACCUUUACUACAGCUUGGCACUGAACAUUGACCCUACAUGUGUAGGAUAGGUGGGAGGCUUUGAAGCACGUACGCCAGUAUGUGUGGAGCCGUCCUUGAAAUACCACCCUUGUAGUGUUGAUGUUCUAACGUCGACCCCUUAUCGGGGUUGCGGACAGUGCCUGGUGGGUAGUUUGACUGGGGCGGUCUCCUCCCAAAGAGUAACGGAGGAGCACGAAGGUGGGCUAAUCACGGUUGGACAUCGUGAGGUUAGUGCAAUGGCAUAAGCCCGCUUGACUGCGAGAAUGACAAUUCGAGCAGGUGCGAAAGCAGGUCAUAGUGAUCCGGUGGUUCUGAAUGGAAGGGCCAUCGCUCAACGGAUAAAAGGUACUCCGGGGAUAACAGGCUGAUACCGCCCAAGAGUUCAUAUCGACGGCGGUGUUUGGCACCUCGAUGUCGGCUCAUCACAUCCUGGGGCUGAAGUCGGUCCCAAGGGUAUGGCUGUUCGCCAUUUAAAGUGGUACGCGAGCUGGGUUUAGAACGUCGUGAGACAGUUCGGUCCCUAUCUGCCGUGGGCGUUGGAAGAUUGAAGGGGGCUGCUCCUAGUACGAGAGGACCGGAGUGGACGAACCUCUGGUGUUCGGGUUGUGUCGCCAGACGCAUUGCCCGGUAGCUAAGUUCGGAAUCGAUAACCGCUGAAAGCAUCUAAGCGGGAAGCGAGCCCUGAGAUGAGUCUUCCCUGAUACUUUAAGUAUCCUAAAGGGUUGUCGGAGACUACGACGUUGAUAGGUCAGGUGUGUAAGUGCUGUGAGGCAUUGAGCUAACUGAUACUAAUUGCCCGUGAGGCUUAACCAU
RNAcentral lists this ribosomal RNA (2890 nucleotides) under Vibrio parahaemolyticus. RNAcentral describes it as "23S ribosomal RNA". It matches the Rfam family "Bacterial large subunit ribosomal RNA". The record is from RNAcentral. Lineage: Bacteria; Pseudomonadati; Pseudomonadota; Gammaproteobacteria; Vibrionales; Vibrionaceae.